Long non-coding RNA from Mytilus trossulus (common blue mussel), 255 nucleotides. RefSeq lists it as uncharacterized. Lineage: Eukaryota; Metazoa; Mollusca; Bivalvia; Mytilida; Mytilidae. The record is from RefSeq and is a predicted model, not a curated record. The transcript is spliced from 4 exons.
CAUUUCUAUCAGUAACUUUACAUCUAAGUCUUAAGAAUGGGUCGGACUAUUUUCGCAGUAUUUACACUUGUUCUUGUUUCUGCUAUCUUCGUUCAAGAUACUGUCAGUCUUGCAGAUCCAUGUGGAGCAUUCUGCGACUCCGCUACAGGAAACGGAAUUAUUGGUAAAGGAGGAAAGGUAAAGGACAGAGCGGAAUGUAUCAGGAAAUGUAACGACGGAAAUUUUUAUGACAACUGCAUCAAGCAAGGAGACAGA